Molecule: unclassified non-coding RNA, 219 nt
Filed under: Hevea brasiliensis (rubber tree)
Lineage: Eukaryota; Viridiplantae; Streptophyta; Magnoliopsida; Malpighiales; Euphorbiaceae
Source: RNAcentral
CAGGCCAUAGCCCUGCACAGGAGGGAUCACACUUGAAGUUUGUGACAGAAUAAAAUUAACUAUACUUUAAUACUUCUCUCUAUCAGCUUAAGCUUUUGAAGUUUGUAAUUAUUUGAAUGGGCAAGUGGCAUUUUGGGAAGAUAUUAUUCAGUUGCACAAGUUGCAUAUUCUCAUUGUUCAGUUAUUGAAGGAUGGUGGAUGUGAAAAAUAUGGCCAUUG